RNAcentral lists this ribosomal RNA (985 nucleotides) under Samsoniella alpina. RNAcentral describes it as "SSU rRNA". It matches the Rfam family "Eukaryotic small subunit ribosomal RNA", at positions 48 to 1044 of the family's 1831-position model. Lineage: Eukaryota; Fungi; Ascomycota; Sordariomycetes; Hypocreales; Cordycipitaceae. The record is from RNAcentral.
GCCAUGCAUGUCUAAGUAUAAGCAAUUAUACAGCGAAACUGCGAAUGGCUCAUUAUAUAAGUUAUCGUUUAUUUGAUAGUACCUUACUACUUGGAUAACCGUGGUAAUUCUAGAGCUAAUACAUGCUAAAAAUCCCGACUUCGGAAGGGAUGUAUUUAUUAGAUUAAAAACCAAUGCCCUCUGGGCUCCUUGGUGAUUCAUAAUAACUUUUCGAAUCGCAUGGCCUUGCGCCGGCGAUGGUUCAUUCAAAUUUCUUCCCUAUCAACUUUCGAUGUUUGGGUAUUGGCCAAACAUGGUCGCAACGGGUAACGGAGGGUUAGGGCUCGACCCCGGAGAAGGAGCCUGAGAAACGGCUACUACAUCCAAGGAAGGCAGCAGGCGCGCAAAUUACCCAAUCCCGAUUCGGGGAGGUAGUGACAAUAAAUACUGAUACAGGGCUCUUUUGGGUCUUGUAAUUGGAAUGAGUACAAUUUAAAUCCCUUAACGAGGAACAAUUGGAGGGCAAGUCUGGUGCCAGCAGCCGCGGUAAUUCCAGCUCCAAUAGCGUAUAUUAAAGUUGUUGUGGUUAAAAAGCUCGUAGUUGAACCUUGGGCCUGGCUGGCCGGUCCGCCUCACCGCGUGUACUGGUCCGGCCGGGCCUUUCCCUCUGUGGAACCUCAUGCCCUUCACUGGGUGUGGCGGGGAAACAGGACUUUUACUUUGAAAAAAUUAGAGUGCUCCAGGCAGGCCUAUGCUCGAAUACAUUAGCAUGGAAUAAUGAAAUAGGACGUGUGGUUCUAUUUUGUUGGUUUCUAGGACCGCCGUAAUGAUUAAUAGGGACAGUCGGGGGCAUCAGUAUUCAAUUGUCAGAGGUGAAAUUCUUGGAUUUAUUGAAGACUAACUACUGCGAAAGCAUUUGCCAAGGAUGUUUUCAUUAAUCAGGAACGAAAGUUAGGGGAUCGAAGACGAUCAGAUACCGUCGUAGUCUUAACCAUAAACUAUGCCG